GUGGGGAAUUUUGGACAAUGGGCGCAAGCCUGAUCCAGCAAUGCCGCGUGCAGGAAGAAGGCCUUCGGGUUGUAAACUGCUUUUGUACGGAACGAAACGGUCCGGGUUAAUACCCUGGGCUAAUGACGGUACCGUAAGAAUAAGCACCGGCUAACUACGUGCCAGCAGCCGCGGUAAUACGUAGGGUGCAAGCGUUAAUCGGAAUUACUGGGCGUAAAGCGUGCGCAGGCGGUUUUGUAAGACAGGCGUGAAAUCCCCGGGCUCACCCUGGGAAUUGCGCUUGUGACUGCAAGGCUGGAGUGCGGCAGAGGGGGAUGGAAUUCCGCGUGUAGCAGUGAAAUGCGUAGAUAUGCGGAGGAACACCGAUGGCGAAGGCAAUCCCCUGGGCCUGCACUGACGCUCAUGCACGAAAGCGUGGGGAGCAAACAGGAUUAGAAACCCUAGUAGUCC
Molecule: ribosomal RNA, 450 nt
Filed under: uncultured bacterium
Lineage: Bacteria
Description: partial 16S ribosomal RNA
Rfam family: Bacterial small subunit ribosomal RNA
Source: RNAcentral